RNAcentral lists this ribosomal RNA (2837 nucleotides) under Pseudomonas aeruginosa. RNAcentral's name for it is "bacterial LSU rRNA". It matches the Rfam family "Bacterial large subunit ribosomal RNA". Lineage: Bacteria; Pseudomonadati; Pseudomonadota; Gammaproteobacteria; Pseudomonadales; Pseudomonadaceae. The record is from RNAcentral.
GUUAUAUGGUCAAGUGAAGAAGCGCAUACGGUGGAUGCCUUGGCAGUCAGAGGCGAUGAAAGACGUGGUAGCCUGCGAAAAGCUUCGGGGAGUCGGCAAACAGACUUUGAUCCGGAGAUCUCUGAAUGGGGGAACCCACCUAGGAUAACCUAGGUAUCUUGUACUGAAUCCAUAGGUGCAAGAGGCGAACCAGGGGAACUGAAACAUCUAAGUACCCUGAGGAAAAGAAAUCAACCGAGAUUCCCUUAGUAGUGGCGAGCGAACGGGGAUUAGCCCUUAAGCUUCAUUGAUUUUAGCGGAACGCUCUGGAAAGUGCGGCCAUAGUGGGUGAUAGCCCCGUACGCGAAAGGAUCUUUGAAGUGAAAUCGAGUAGGACGGAGCACGAGAAACUUUGUCUGAACAUGGGGGGACCAUCCUCCAAGGCUAAAUACUACUGACUGACCGAUAGUGAACCAGUACCGUGAGGGAAAGGCGAAAAGAACCCCGGAGAGGGGAGUGAAAUAGAACCUGAAACCGUAUGCGUACAAGCAGUGGGAGCCUACUUGUUAGGUGACUGCGUACCUUUUGUAUAAUGGGUCAGCGACUUAUAUUCAGUGGCAAGCUUAACCGUAUAGGGUAGGCGUAGCGAAAGCGAGUCUUAAUAGGGCGUUUAGUCGCUGGGUAUAGACCCGAAACCGGGCGAUCUAUCCAUGAGCAGGUUGAAGGUUAGGUAACACUGACUGGAGGACCGAACCCACUCCCGUUGAAAAGGUAGGGGAUGACUUGUGGAUCGGAGUGAAAGGCUAAUCAAGCUCGGAGAUAGCUGGUUCUCCUCGAAAGCUAUUUAGGUAGCGCCUCAUGUAUCACUCUGGGGGGUAGAGCACUGUUUCGGCUAGGGGGUCAUCCCGACUUACCAAACCGAUGCAAACUCCGAAUACCCAGAAGUGCCGAGCAUGGGAGACACACGGCGGGUGCUAACGUCCGUCGUGAAAAGGGAAACAACCCAGACCGCCAGCUAAGGUCCCAAAGUUGUGGUUAAGUGGUAAACGAUGUGGGAAGGCUUAGACAGCUAGGAGGUUGGCUUAGAAGCAGCCACCCUUUAAAGAAAGCGUAAUAGCUCACUAGUCGAGUCGGCCUGCGCGGAAGAUGUAACGGGGCUCAAACCACACACCGAAGCUGCGGGUGUCACGUAAGUGACGCGGUAGAGGAGCGUUCUGUAAGCCUGUGAAGGUGAGUUGAGAAGCUUGCUGGAGGUAUCAGAAGUGCGAAUGCUGACAUGAGUAACGACAAUGGGUGUGAAAAACACCCACGCCGAAAGACCAAGGGUUCCUGCGCAACGUUAAUCGACGCAGGGUUAGUCGGUUCCUAAGGCGAGGCUGAAAAGCGUAGUCGAUGGGAAACAGGUUAAUAUUCCUGUACUUCUGGUUACUGCGAUGGAGGGACGGAGAAGGCUAGGCCAGCUUGGCGUUGGUUGUCCAAGUUUAAGGUGGUAGGCUGAAAUCUUAGGUAAAUCCGGGGUUUCAAGGCCGAGAGCUGAUGACGAGUCGUCUUUUAGAUGACGAAGUGGUUGAUGCCAUGCUUCCAAGAAAAGCUUCUAAGCUUCAGGUAACCAGGAACCGUACCCCAAACCGACACAGGUGGUCGGGUAGAGAAUACCAAGGCGCUUGAGAGAACUCGGGUGAAGGAACUAGGCAAAAUGGCACCGUAACUUCGGGAGAAGGUGCGCCRGCUAGGGUGAAGGAUUUACUCCGUAAGCUCUGGCUGGUCGAAGAUACCAGGCCGCUGCGACUGUUUAUUAAAAACACAGCACUCUGCAAACACGAAAGUGGACGUAUAGGGUGUGACGCCUGCCCGGUGCCGGAAGGUUAAUUGAUGGGGUUAGCGCAAGCGAAGCUCUUGAUCGAAGCCCCGGUAAACGGCGGCCGUAACUAUAACGGUCCUAAGGUAGCGAAAUUCCUUGUCGGGUAAGUUCCGACCUGCACGAAUGGCGUAACGAUGGCGGCGCUGUCUCCACCCGAGACUCAGUGAAAUUGAAAUCGCUGUGAAGAUGCAGUGUAUCCGCGGCUAGACGGAAAGACCCCGUGAACCUUUACUGUAGCUUUGCACUGGACUUUGAGCCUGCUUGUGUAGGAUAGGUGGGAGGCUUUGAAGCGUGGACGCCAGUUCGCGUGGAGCCAUCCUUGAAAUACCACCCUGGCAUGCUUGAGGUUCUAACUCUGGUCCGUGAUCCGGAUCGAGGACAGUGUAUGGUGGGCAGUUUGACUGGGGCGGUCUCCUCCUAAAGAGUAACGGAGGAGUACGAAGGUGCGCUCAGACCGGUCGGAAAUCGGUCGCAGAGUAUAAAGGCAAAAGCGCGCUUGACUGCGAGACAGACACGUCGAGCAGGUACGAAAGUAGGUCUUAGUGAUCCGGUGGUUCUGUAUGGAAGGGCCAUCGCUCAACGGAUAAAAGGUACUCCGGGGAUAACAGGCUGAUACCGCCCAAGAGUUCAUAUCGACGGCGGUGUUUGGCACCUCGAUGUCGGCUCAUCACAUCCUGGGGCUGAAGCCGGUCCCAAGGGUAUGGCUGUUCGCCAUUUAAAGUGGUACGCGAGCUGGGUUUAGAACGUCGUGAGACAGUUCGGUCCCUAUCUGCCGUGGACGUUUGAGAUUUGAGAGGGGCUGCUCCUAGUACGAGAGGACCGGAGUGGACGAACCUCUGGUGUUCCGGUUGUCACGCCAGUGGCAUUGCCGGGUAGCUAUGUUCGGAAAAGAUAACCGCUGAAAGCAUCUAAGCGGGAAACUUGCCUCAAGAUGAGAUCUCACUGGGAACUUGAUUCCCCUGAAGGGCCGUCGAAGACUACGACGUUGAUAGGCUGG